This 289-nucleotide unclassified non-coding RNA is filed under the name Hevea brasiliensis (rubber tree). The record is from RNAcentral. Lineage: Eukaryota; Viridiplantae; Streptophyta; Magnoliopsida; Malpighiales; Euphorbiaceae.
GAGGAUCUUUAUUUACAGUGUUCCUGUUGAGAAUAGGAAAUAAAAAUCUUAUGUGUGAAAAAAGAAGUUCUACACAUCAAGAUGAAAUUCCAAGUUAAAGAGAGAUAAAUGAAAAACAACUAUUGUAUUUGUUGCAUGAAACAAGACGUAAGGUAAUUAAGUAAUAGGAACUUGUAGGCCUUUCAAAUUCACUGGAAGAAAUGCAUUGUGAAUCUCAUAUGGCAUGGAUGGUUCCAUAACCUAUGGAUAUUUAUAAUCAAGAAUACAGAAGUACCAGUCCCCAAGUCUA